This is a long non-coding RNA of Siniperca chuatsi (mandarin fish), 1246 nucleotides long. RefSeq lists it as uncharacterized. The transcript is spliced from 6 exons. Lineage: Eukaryota; Metazoa; Chordata; Actinopteri; Centrarchiformes; Sinipercidae. The record is from RefSeq and is a predicted model, not a curated record.
UAGCCAACCGAUUAACCAUUGUCAUAAACACUUGUAGGGAACAAGAAUGAACCGAAACUCCACAGUCAGUGUUUCUGGAAAUAUCUGUAAAAAAACAGAAACAACUCUCAACUCUCUAAAACAGGAGCAGGGACGUGCUGUUUAAAUUUAGGGAGCUAACACUAGCUAACUGCUAAUUAGUAGCUUUUUGGCUAGCUACUUAGAAGUUAGCCAAAAAGCUAACAAGUUUUAUUCAUGAACUGAUUAUUUGAACCAUGUUUGUUCAACCCAGUGCGUCAGUCUGUAAUCGGACAGGUGAGCUUCAAUGCAUUGGAAAUGAUCAUGAUGAAGUUAAAUCCUCACCUCAUCUCAGGCUGCAUCUUGUCCUCCCUCCAACAAUGACUGCAGCGCCAUCUUGUGAAAGAAAGAAUUGAUUCUCCCUGGAAACUGCUGCCUACAGAACAGGUGCACACUGAGCAGGUGGGCCCUUACGUACGAGCCUUGAGAGUUUGGAGCUGGAGUAAAUCAUACCUCACACUAUUUUAGGGGAUUGGUGGGGAGACUUGGAAGGAGCAACAGUAAGAGAGAAACAACGGAUAAGAAAGAAAGAGCAAAGGUUUUGCAGGGCAGACUGCACACAGAUAUAGGCACCUCCUGUUCCCCAUCUGGCCACUGAAGCUCCUCCAGCUGGGAGAAAGAUGACACACAGCACAGGAAGAGAGGGUUAGCAACGGAACGACAAGCCAGAGAUCAUCUGCCGGACAGCCUCCAUAUGCUGCUCGAACACGGCUAAGUGGGUCUACUCUCACGUUUGGGCAACGCUCCUCCUUGCUUGACCAGAAAUGGACAUAGCUUUAUAAUUUUUUCCAACGGAAUAUCUGACUCUGCGAAAUACAGCCACAAUGUUGUCAGCAAACCUGAUGUGGUUGCACUUCUUUUAUUUAUUUAUUUACUUUUAUUGCGGUUCUGGCAACAAUUAUAUAUUUUUCCGGUUCCGAAUAUGUACAGAACCAUUUUUUUUCAUGGCUUUUGAACUACCUUAACAAAACACAAAAACAGAAGGAGUCACAACUUUACAAACACGAUACAAAAGAAAACAAAAUGAAAGAAAACAGACACACCACCAGGCUGACAUAAUUACAUUCAAAUUACUAGGGUAUGCUGUAGUCACUUCCAAUGUUGUUAAUUAGGUAGAACGAAGUCCAGUCCAGAGGGGUCCACUGUGUCCAAGACUGGUUGCCAUAUCUUAAUAAAUCCUUUGACAUUG